RNAcentral lists this ribosomal RNA (525 nucleotides) under uncultured bacterium. RNAcentral describes it as "bacterial SSU rRNA". It matches the Rfam family "Bacterial small subunit ribosomal RNA", at positions 370 to 916 of the family's 1533-position model. The record is from RNAcentral.
GACGGAGUCUCUCUGAAGCGACGAUGCCUCCUGAGUGAAGAAGGCCUUUGGGUUGUAAAGCUCUUUUGUAGGGGAAGAUAAUGACUGUACCCUAAGAAUAAGGUCCGGCUAACUUCGUGCCAGCAGCCGCGGUAAUACGAAGGGACCUAGCGUAGUUCGGAAUUACUGGGCGUAAAGCGCGCGUAGGCCGUUGAGUUAGUUAAUUGUGAAAUCCCAAAGCUUAACUUUGGAACUGCAAUUAAAACUGCUCGACUAGAGUUUGAUAGAGGAAAGCGGAAUACAUAGUGUAGAGGUGAAAUUCGUAGAUAUUAUGUAGAACACCAGUUGCGAAGGCGGCUUUCUGGAUCAACACUGACGCUGAGGCGCGAAAGUAUGGGUAGCAAAGAGGAUUAGAUACCCUCGUAGUCCAUACCAUAAACGAUGAUUGCUAGAUGUUGGAAAUUUAUUUUCAGUAUCGCAGCUAACGCAUUAAGCAAUCCGCCUGGGGAGUACGACCGCAAGGUUAAAACUCAAAUGAAUUGACGG